GAUGAACGCUGACAGAAUGCUUAACACAUGCAAGUCUACUUGAACUUCGGUUUGGGUGGCGGACGGGUGAGUAACGCGUUAAGAACUUGCCUCACAGUUAGGGACAACAUUUGGAAACGAAUGCUAAUACCUGAUAUUAUGAUUUUAGGGCAUCCUAAGAUUAUGAAAGCUAUAUGUGCUGUGAGAGAGCUUUGCGUCCCAUUAGCUAGUUGGAGAGGUAACGGCUCACCAAGGCGAUGAUGGGUAGCCGGCCUGAGAGGGUGAACGGCCACAAGGGGACUGAGACACGGCCCUUACUCCUACGGGAGGCAGCAGUGGGGAAUAUUGGACAAUGGACCAAAAGUCUGAUCCAGCAAUUCUGUGUGCACGAUGACGUUUUUCGGAAUGUAAAGUGCUUUCAGUUGGGAAGAAAAAAAUGACGGUACCAACAGAAGAAGUGACGGCUAG
This 447-nucleotide ribosomal RNA is filed under the name Fusobacterium periodonticum. RNAcentral describes it as "bacterial SSU rRNA". It matches the Rfam family "Bacterial small subunit ribosomal RNA", at positions 28 to 500 of the family's 1533-position model. The record is from RNAcentral. Lineage: Bacteria; Fusobacteriati; Fusobacteriota; Fusobacteriia; Fusobacteriales; Fusobacteriaceae.